UGUUUCCAUUAAUCAAGAACGAAAGUUAGAGGUUCGAAGGCGAUCAGAUACCGCCCUAGUUCUAACCAUAAACGAUGCCAGCCAGCGAUCCGGCUGUGUUCCUCAAAUGACACGCCGGGCAGCUUCCGGGAAACCAAAGCCUUUGGGUUCCGGGGGAAG
This 159-nucleotide ribosomal RNA is filed under the name Trogloneta sp. MYSM-024-CHILE. RNAcentral describes it as "partial 18S ribosomal RNA". It matches the Rfam family "Eukaryotic small subunit ribosomal RNA", at positions 965 to 1123 of the family's 1831-position model. Lineage: Eukaryota; Metazoa; Arthropoda; Arachnida; Araneae; Mysmenidae. The record is from RNAcentral. RNAcentral also lists the same sequence under 1 other name.